CAACCCCUUCAUUCCUUAUACUCUCAACCGAAAGAUUUAGCUUUCAAAGUCUGUCUAUUUCAUGUUAAUCUUUCAGUUUGAUUGAUUGUUUUAGCUAUGAUGUCUGUCUAAAGUUUUUGGUUUUUGUUCCUGCGAUUUGAAAGCCGUUUGAAAUGUCAGUCUUCGUAGUUUCUACUCGUUGCUGUUUCAUGAUUUCAAUGGGGUCACAGUUCACUACCUCAUUUCGGAUAGUACUGAUCUGCAGGAGUUCUCUCAUUCUAUAAACUCUGUUUUCAGCUGACAAUCAGAUGAAUGAUUCCCAAGAGCUGGACUUAUGCUUCAUACAUGAAUUUACCUAUCAUGCUUCCCCCGUAUUUUGAUUUGUACAAAUUCUAUGAAUUUGUUUUUGACCAGGCUUCAUUGCUAUGUGCUUGAAAGAUGGCAUUCGUGAAUCGGUUAGGGAAUCUGCUCAAGAACUCUCCAAGCAGGCACACCAAUCAUGAUGUAUCCGUGUGCAGUCCAGCCAUGUAUCAGGCAAUAAGGUCCAUGUCUUCAAAGCUUUUCGUUGGAGGACUUUCUUAUGGCACCGAUGAUAUAAGCCUGAAAGAAGCAUUUUCCGGUUAUGGUGAGAUCGUUGAGGGUAAUAAUCGGCCGUGAGACUGGUAGGUCAAGAGGAUUGCGCUUUGUUAGCUUCAAGUCUAGUGAUGAGGCUUCUAAUGCCAUGUGGGGGUAUGGAUGGACAGGAUCUUCACAGCCGAAGGAUAAGAGUGAACUACGCCAAAGAGAAGUCUAGCCGAGGAUUUGGUGGUGCAGCCUUCAGAGGCAGCGAUGGUGUCUAUGGCAAUGGUGGUGGACAUGGUGGCAGUGGCAGCGGCUAUGGCACUAACAGUUACGCUGGUGGAAACUGAUCUCUUCUGACCGUCUCCCUGCUCCUUCGCUUAGAAAUUUUAUGAUUGCACUAUAAAAGUUCGCAAAUUUUCUUUUACUCUGUAUACUUGAGUUUCAGUUUGAAAUAUGAAUUUCAUGAAA
Molecule: non-coding RNA, 1008 nt
Organism: Punica granatum (pomegranate)
Lineage: Eukaryota; Viridiplantae; Streptophyta; Magnoliopsida; Myrtales; Lythraceae
Source: RefSeq, a predicted model, not a curated record